Molecule: ribosomal RNA, 550 nt
Filed under: Vibrio sp. NH89-33
Lineage: Bacteria; Pseudomonadati; Pseudomonadota; Gammaproteobacteria; Vibrionales; Vibrionaceae
Description: bacterial SSU rRNA
Rfam family: Bacterial small subunit ribosomal RNA
Source: RNAcentral
GGUGAGUAAUGCCUAGGAAAUUGCCCUGAUGUGGGGGAUAACCAUUGGAAACGAUGGCUAAUACCGCAUAAUGCCUACGGGCCAAAGAGGGGGACCUUCGGGCCUCUCGCGUCAGGAUAUGCCUAGGUGGGAUUAGCUAGUUGGUGAGGUAAGGGCUCACCAAGGCGACGAUCCCUAGCUGGUCUGAGAGGAUGAUCAGCCACACUGGAACUGAGACACGGUCCAGACUCCUACGGGAGGCAGCAGUGGGGAAUAUUGCACAAUGGGCGCAAGCCUGAUGCAGCCAUGCCGCGUGUGUGAAGAAGGCCUUCGGGUUGUAAAGCACUUUCAGUCGUGAGGAAGGUAGUGUAGUUAAUAGCUGCAUUAUUUGACGUUAGCGACAGAAGAAGCACCGGCUAACUCCGUGCCAGCAGCCGCGGUAAUACGGAGGGUGCGAGCGUUAAUCGGAAUUACUGGGCGUAAAGCGCAUGCAGGUGGUUUGUUAAGUCAGAUGUGAAAGCCCGGGGCUCAACCUCGGAAUUGCAUUUGAAACUGGCAGACUAGAGUACUG